ACAGUAUCUAAAGAGUUCUAUAUCUGUUUUAUUUGAAAUCAUGCAAUAAUAUAUUUCAGGAGGAAAUUUGUGGCUAAUAUAUUUCAACCUUUACAAAUCCACCUGUAGGCCUGAGAUAAGGCUUCAAUCCGUGAGUGCUGGAGCAAAAUAUGUUUAUGAAAUGAAGCCACAUACAGCGAUAGAGCCAGAAAAUCUCUUGUCAUCAUUAAGGAAACAUAUUUCUCCUCUGUCAGACGGUGUCAUGUAAAAAAUGUGAGAUGUAGAUACAGAAAGGAAUGUGACCCGAGUGUUUAAACUAUUCCUUCUCAUCAGUCUCAGUACAGACUCACAGGCAGCAACAUAAAGGGAGGAAGCAUAACUACUGAAUUUAUUUCAGUCCUAACUUUUUUCAUCUCUAACAGUCAGACAGACAAACCGGUGAAGCUUUGAGUAACCAUUUAGUAACUAUUCGUGUCAUGGAGUAUUCCACCUAUGUCGGCCGCUGCCUGCUGUUUUUCUCUCUUGCCAUCCUCAUGGAUGUAACAGGCCUCAUCAUAUUCUUUGUUGGGGUUGCUGCUCCCCUCAGCUUCUGGGAUUUCUUUGUCUUUUCUGGGUCGCUCCUAAUAUUCCUCAGCCUGGUAUUCUGGAUCUUCUGGUAUCUGGGAAACCUGGAGGUACCAAUGGAGGCCUUACUCCCCAAAUGAGGAUGAAAAUGCUGCACUUCUACUCGAUCUUACUUGUGGAUUCACAAGCCAUAAAAAACAUGGAACUUUAACCUGAAAGGAAAAACAUGGAACCCUAAUCUGGAAAGACAUCUGUAUGCUGGGCACCUUGGACUCUGGAGCUGUUUUAUAAACUUCUGAAGUUGGUAGGACAAAAGAAAAAGACAGUCUUAAAGAAGAGGACCACGUUUAUAUAUUUAAAAUUUUUUUUUACAUAAAUAUGUGUAAAAACUUCCAUCUAAAGUCCUGGCACUUGGCAAUGAUGAACUCUACACAAUGACUCAUAUUACUUAUUAAUAUUCUAUUGUAAUGAAGAUCAAAUAAAUGAUUUAAAUAUUGAUAUAUGAAAUAACAUUAAUGAAUAGCUGCUAUUUGUGACUAUCCAGCAGACAGAUUAUUGCAUGGCAAGUCGAAAAUAUUCCUCCUUCAUAAGAAACUAAACACCUAACAACAAGUAUUGCAAAUGACAACACUGCAUGAUUUGUAAUCAUUUUUCAAUCUUUUCUGGUCAUUUUGCAGCCCUAUAAUCUAUAGUAGUUCAGGCAUUAGUGGUAAUUUUGUCAUUUUAUAGGCAUUUUGUGUAUCUUUGCUGUCAGUGGCCUGAUAUAUACAUACUGAUAAUGCUGCUCUUCAUGUUUCUUUUUUACUUUUUUCCUUCUAACACUGUUGUUCCCAGUCUCCAUUGUGAUAGAAAUUUGAGUAUUUGUUUCUCAACCCAUUCAACAGAAACCAGUCAAACUGGAUGCUUUAGUUACUAGUGCUGAGACUGCUCUCAUUUUACAAGAAUGGCUUGUUUGAAAGGAAAAGAAAGAGAACAUUUUGUGUCUGUCAUAACCAACAACAUACUAUAUGGUGGAAUUAAUUGAUUAAGCUGAUUAAGCUAAGGAUAUGUGUUCUGCUAUAAUCCUUACCUCAAGUAUGUGGUACAACUCGUUUCUCUGCCACUAAAGUGGACACCCAGUUUACAGUGUGAUUGACAUCUAAGCUUAAAGACAUUAUAAUCUUCAGUCUUAUCAAUGCUGGACACAAGAAGAGAGCUUCAACAAGAAAACUAAGAAAGAAAUAAAAGAGAAAACAAAAG
This is a long non-coding RNA of Amphiprion ocellaris (clown anemonefish), 1782 nucleotides long. The record is from Ensembl. NCBI's taxonomy places the organism in Eukaryota, Metazoa, Chordata, Actinopteri, Pomacentridae.